GAUGAACGCUGGCGGCGUGCCUAAUACAUGCAAGUCGAGCGAACGGACGAGAAGCUUGCUUCUCUGAUGUUAGCGGCGGACGGGUGAGUAACACGUGGAUAACCUACCUAUAAGACUGGGAUAAUUUCGGGAAACCGGAGCUAAUACCGGAUGAUAUUUUGAACCGCAUGGUUCAAAAGUGAAAGACGGUCUUGCUGUCACUUAUAGAUGGAUCCGCGCUGCAUUAGCUAGUUGGUAAGGUAACGGCUUACCAAGGCAACGAUGCAUAGCCGACCUGAGAGGGUGAUCGGCCACACUGGAACUGAGACACGGUCCAGACUCCUACGGGAGGCAGCAGUAGGGAAUCUUCCGCAAUGGGCGAAAGCCUGACGGAGCAACGCCGCGUGAGUGAUGAAGGUCUUCGGAUCGUAAAACUCUGUUAUUAGGGAAGAACAUAUGUGUAAGUAACUGUGCACAUCUUGACGGUACCUAAUCAGAAAGCCACGGCUAACUACGUG
RNAcentral lists this ribosomal RNA (497 nucleotides) under uncultured bacterium. Its description in RNAcentral is "partial 16S ribosomal RNA". It matches the Rfam family "Bacterial small subunit ribosomal RNA", at positions 28 to 507 of the family's 1533-position model. The record is from RNAcentral.